GAUGAAGAACGUAGCGAAAUGCGAUAAUUAAUGUGAAUUGCAGAAUUCCGUGAAUCAUCGAGUCUUUGAACGCACAUUGCGCCUCAUGGCAUCCCGUGAGGCAUGCCCAUCUCAGCGUUAGAAAAUAUUCUCAAAUUUUAGUUUUGUGCUAAAAUUUGGAUCAUGUCAAGGAAGCUAUUACUAUUAUUGUGAUUGCUCUUUGGAAAUUGAUAGGUCUUUGAGUUGCUACUCAUAGAACGUGAUGAAUCUUUCUUCGUUCUAUUGUAAUUCACUCUGGUAGUCCUAAAAGUUGUAUGCCUGUGGCAUAUCUUGUAAUUUGACCUGAGAUUGGGUAGGGAUACCCGCUGAACUUAAGCAUAUCAAUAAGCGGAGGA
This 374-nucleotide unclassified non-coding RNA is filed under the name soil metagenome. RNAcentral's name for it is "partial contains internal transcribed spacer 2 and large subunit ribosomal RNA". The stretch from base 1 to 120 matches the Rfam family "5.8S ribosomal RNA", at positions 35 to 154 of the family's 154-position model. The record is from RNAcentral.